AUAAUUUAUUUUAUUUUUUUUAGAAAAAUAAUUUUAUGUUUAAGUAAUUUUUAUUGAAUUAAUUUAUUUUAUUAUAGUAUAUUAGUAUAGUGAUAGAAUAUUAUUUAUUUUUGAACAAGAAGUUUUUUUUUAAUGUACCUUUUGUAUCAGGGUUUAUCAAGUUAUGAUUAUUUAUUUUAAUUAUCUCGAAUUAUAAAGAGUUAAUAAAAUAUUUAUUUUAUUGUUAAAUAAAUAUUUAAAAUAUUUUAUUUGUAGUGAAAUGUUAUUCGUUUUAUAAUAUAUCUAGUUUUUAAAGAAAUAAGUUUAAUUUAUAAAUUAAUUAGUUUAUAUAUAAGUUUAUAUAAAGGUAGUUAUUUAUUAAGAAUUUAAGGGAUAAGCUUUAAGUUUAAUUAUUAAAAAUAAUUUGAUUAUUAAUUUAAAUAGGAUUAUAAGUUUUUAAUUUUAAAAGUAUGUUAUAAUAAUAGGUUUUUUUUUUAAUAAUUUUAAUUUAUUUUAAUUUUUUUAUUUAAAUAAUGUAUUUAAUUUUUAAGUAGAUGUAAUAAUGAUAUAAUUAGUAUAAAUUAAUGUAAGUUUAUUAUUAUAUGGUAGGUAUUGGAAAGGAAUUAGGCAAUAAUAUUUUCGCCUGUUUAAUAAAAACAUGUCGUUAAGAUUAUAAUUUAAGGUUUAAUCUGCUCACUGAUUUUUUUAAGAGCCGCAGUAAUUUGACUGUGCGAAGGUAGCAUAAUAAUUAGUUUCUUAAUUAGAAGCUGGAAUGAAUGAUUGGACGAGAAAUAAUCUGUCUUUUGUAUAUUUAGUUAGAAUUUUAUAUUUAAAUUAAAAAGUUUAAAUUUUAUUAAAAGACGAGAAGACCCUAUAGAGUUUUAUAUUUAUAUUAUGGUUUUUUAUUUAGUUUAAGGUAUUUACUAUAAGAUUAAUAUUUUAUUGGGGUGAUAGAAAAAUUUAUUUAACUUUUUUGGUUAUUAUAACAAUAAUUAUUGAAUUUAUGAUCCUUAGUUUAGAUUAUAGAUUAAAUUACCUUAGGGAUAACAGCGUAAUUUUUUUGGAUAGUUCUUAUUGAUAAAAAAGAUUGCGACCUCGAUGUUGGAUUAAGAUAAAUUUCUAAAGCAUAAAUUAGGAUAAUUUAGUCUGUUCGACUAUUAAAAUCUUACAUGAUCUGAGUUUAAACCGGUGUAAGCCAGGUUGGUUUCUAUCUUUAAUUAAAUAUAAUAUUUUAGUACGAAAGGACCAAGUAUU
Molecule: ribosomal RNA, 1233 nt
Filed under: Lucifotychus sp. 1 EF-2015
Lineage: Eukaryota; Metazoa; Arthropoda; Insecta; Coleoptera; Staphylinidae
Description: 16S ribosomal RNA
Rfam family: Archaeal large subunit ribosomal RNA (bases 1022-1181)
Source: RNAcentral